UAGAUUUUACAAAAGCCCUAAAUAGGAAAACAUACAUAAUCAUUGGCAUAAAAUCCUAUUACUUCCUAAUCUAAUGCUUAAUUACAAGGAUUCUUGAUCUAUUUAUAAUUCUUGACACUCCUUCUCAAGCUGGAUUGGACACAUUGUAUGCUCCAAGCUUGUUACAGAUGUAACCAAUCCUAGAUGCUUGAAGAGAUUUUGUAAGGACGUUUGCUAACUAAUUAUUUGAAUUGACAAAACUAGUGACAAUAUACAACUCAAUCUUUUACUUAAAAAAGUGACAAUCUGUUUCUAUGUGCUUCAUUCUUUAAUGAAACAUGGCAUUUGAAGCAAUAUGCAACGUAGCUUGAUUGUCACAAAUUAGUUUCUUCUAUUCAUCUCCUUCACAAUUUAAUUCCUAAAAAAGCUGCUUUAGCCAUGUAAGGUCAAAUGUGGCUAAAACCAUGGCUUGGUUUGACCAGUACAUUUUGCUUUUUAUUUCUCCAAAAUAUUAGAUCACUUCCAAUUAAAAUGCAAUACCCUGAAGUAGACUGUUUGUUUGAAGGGGAUCUUGCCCAAUUUGCAUCAGAAUGCUCAAUAAUUUGUGUCCCUUGUCUUCAUACAACGUACUUUGUCCUAUGGCUUCUUAACAUACUUUGUCUUAGGGCUUCUUUAAUACAAUUGAAAAUGCAAAUUAUUGUAUUUCAAUGACUAUCAUAAGAAGCAUGUAGGAACUGGCUACACUGACAACAAAUGAGAUGUUGAGUCAAGUGAGCAUGCUUGAGGUGCAAGGCGAGGGUGGUGAUUGGCACAACGCUUAGGAGCACUCUAGGUGAGUGACCUUCCUAAGGCGACAUGGGGUGACGUGAGGUGCACCAAGGCAUAAAGCGCGCCCAGUUGUAACUCCUGCAUGCAAGCCCACUCAGCCUUAUAAACC
This 916-nucleotide unclassified non-coding RNA is filed under the name Hevea brasiliensis (rubber tree). Lineage: Eukaryota; Viridiplantae; Streptophyta; Magnoliopsida; Malpighiales; Euphorbiaceae. The record is from RNAcentral.